RNAcentral lists this transfer RNA (72 nucleotides) under Pseudocercospora fijiensis CIRAD86. RNAcentral's name for it is "tRNA-Ile (AAT) (tRNA-Ile-AAT-2-1)". It matches the Rfam family "tRNA". From Rfam's summary of the family: Transfer RNA (tRNA) molecules are approximately 80 nucleotides in length. Their secondary structure includes four short double-helical elements and three loops (D, anti-codon, and T loops). The record is from RNAcentral. Lineage: Eukaryota; Fungi; Ascomycota; Dothideomycetes; Mycosphaerellales; Mycosphaerellaceae.
GGUCUUGUGGUGCAGUGGUUAGCACAUCUGGUCAAUAUCCAGAAGACCUACGUUCAAAUCGUAGCAAGACCA